AGCAGCCGCGGUAAUUCCAGCUCCAAUAGCGUAUAUUAAAGUUGUUGCAGUUAAAAAGCUCGUAGUUGAAUUUCGGGAUCAGUAGAUUGGUCAUGCCUUUGGUAUGUACUGGUCUCACUGAUUCCUCCCUCUUGAAGAUCUGUAAUGUCAUUAAUUUGAUGUUACGGGGAAUCAGGACUGUUACUUUGAAAAAAUUAGAGUGUUUAAAGCAGACUUACGCUUGAAUACAUUAGCAUGGAAUAAUGAAAUAGGACGUAUGAUCCUAUUUUGUUGGUUUCUAGGAUUGACGUAAUGAUUAAUAGGGAUAGGUGGGGGCAUUAGUAUUCAAUUGUCAGAGGUGAAAUUCUUGGAUUUAUUGAAGACUAACUACUGCGAAAGCAUUUGCCAAGGAUGUUUUCAUUAAUCAAGAACGAAAGUUAGGGGAUCGAAGACGAUCAGAUACCGUCGUAGUCUUAACCAUAAACUAUGCCGACUAGGGAUCGGAUGAUGUUAAUUUUUUUAAUGACUCAUUCGGCGCCUU
Molecule: ribosomal RNA, 520 nt
Filed under: uncultured Glomus
Lineage: Eukaryota; Fungi; Glomeromycota; Glomeromycetes; Glomerales; Glomeraceae
Description: SSU rRNA
Rfam family: Eukaryotic small subunit ribosomal RNA
Source: RNAcentral